GAUGAACGCUGGCGGCGUGCCUAAUACAUGCAAGUCGAGCGAACGGACGAGAAGCUUGCUUCUCUGAUGUUAGCGGCGGACGGGUGAGUAACACGUGGAUAACCUACCUAUAAGACUGGGAUAACUUCGGGAAACCGGAGCUAAUAACGGAUAAUAUUUUGAACCGCAUGGUUCAAAAGUGAAAGACGGUCUUGCUGUCACUUAUAGAUGGAUCCGCGCUGCAUUAGCUAGUUGGUAAGGUAACGGCUUACCAAGGCAACGAUGCAUAGCCGACCUGAGAGGGUGAUCAGCCACACUGGAACUGAGACACGGUCCAGACUCCUACGGGAGGCAGCAGUAGGGAAUCUUCCGCAAUGGGCGAAAGCCUGACGGAGCAACGCCGCGUGAGUGAUGAAGGUCUUCGGAUCGUAAAACUCUGUUAUUAGGGAAGAACAUAUGUGUAAGUAACUGUGCACAUCUUGACGGUACCUAAUCAGAAAGCCACGGCUAACUACGUG
RNAcentral lists this ribosomal RNA (497 nucleotides) under uncultured bacterium. RNAcentral describes it as "partial 16S ribosomal RNA". It matches the Rfam family "Bacterial small subunit ribosomal RNA", at positions 28 to 507 of the family's 1533-position model. The record is from RNAcentral.